RNAcentral lists this ribosomal RNA (1383 nucleotides) under Vibrio sp. 08EPH64. RNAcentral describes it as "bacterial SSU rRNA". It matches the Rfam family "Bacterial small subunit ribosomal RNA", at positions 63 to 1435 of the family's 1533-position model. Lineage: Bacteria; Pseudomonadati; Pseudomonadota; Gammaproteobacteria; Vibrionales; Vibrionaceae. The record is from RNAcentral.
CGAGUUAUCUGAACCUUCGGGGGACGAUAACGGCGUCGAGCGGCGGACGGGUGAGUAAUGCCUAGGAAAUUGCCCUGAUGUGGGGGAUAACCAUUGGAAACGAUGGCUAAUACCGCAUGAUGCCUACGGGCCAAAGAGGGGGACCUUCGGGCCUCUCGCGUCAGGAUAUGCCUAGGUGGGAUUAGCUAGUUGGUGAGGUAAGGGCUCACCAAGGCGACGAUCCCUAGCUGGUCUGAGAGGAUGAUCAGCCACACUGGAACUGAGACACGGUCCAGACUCCUACGGGAGGCAGCAGUGGGGAAUAUUGCACAAUGGGCGCAAGCCUGAUGCAGCCAUGCCGCGUGUGUGAAGAAGGCCUUCGGGUUGUAAAGUACUUUCAGUCGUGAGGAAGGUGGUGUAGUUAAUAGCUGCAUUAUUUGACGUUAGCGACAGAAGAAGCACCGGCUAACUCCGUGCCAGCAGCCGCGGUAAUACGGAGGGUGCGAGCGUUAAUCGGAAUUACUGGGCGUAAAGCGCAUGCAGGUGGUUUGUUAAGUCAGAUGUGAAAGCCCGGGGCUCAACCUCGGAAUAGCAUUUGAAACUGGCAGACUAGAGUACUGUAGAGGGGGGUAGAAUUUCAGGUGUAGCGGUGAAAUGCGUAGAGAUCUGAAGGAAUACCGGUGGCGAAGGCGGCCCCCUGGACAGAUACUGACACUCAGAUGCGAAAGCGUGGGGAGCAAACAGGAUUAGAUACCCUGGUAGUCCACGCCGUAAACGAUGUCUACUUGGAGGUUGUGGCCUUGAGCCGUGGCUUUCGGAGCUAACGCGUUAAGUAGACCGCCUGGGGAGUACGGUCGCAAGAUUAAAACUCAAAUGAAUUGACGGGGGCCCGCACAAGCGGUGGAGCAUGUGGUUUAAUUCGAUGCAACGCGAAGAACCUUACCUACUCUUGACAUCCAGAGAACUUUCCAGAGAUGGAUUGGUGCCUUCGGGAACUCUGAGACAGGUGCUGCAUGGCUGUCGUCAGCUCGUGUUGUGAAAUGUUGGGUUAAGUCCCGCAACGAGCGCAACCCUUAUCCUUGUUUGCCAGCGAGUAAUGUCGGGAACUCCAGGGAGACUGCCGGUGAUAAACCGGAGGAAGGUGGGGACGACGUCAAGUCAUCAUGGCCCUUACGAGUAGGGCUACACACGUGCUACAAUGGCGCAUACAGAGGGCGGCCAACUUGCGAAAGUGAGCGAAUCCCAAAAAGUGCGUCGUAGUCCGGAUUGGAGUCUGCAACUCGACUCCAUGAAGUCGGAAUCGCUAGUAAUCGUGGAUCAGAAUGCCACGGUGAAUACGUUCCCGGGCCUUGUACACACCGCCCGUCACACCAUGGGAGUGGGCUGCAAAAGUAAGUAGGUAGU